RNAcentral lists this unclassified non-coding RNA (376 nucleotides) under soil metagenome. RNAcentral's name for it is "partial contains 5.8S ribosomal RNA, internal transcribed spacer 2, and large subunit ribosomal RNA". The stretch from base 1 to 120 matches the Rfam family "5.8S ribosomal RNA", at positions 35 to 154 of the family's 154-position model. The record is from RNAcentral.
GAUGAAGAACGUAGCGAAAUGCGAUAAGUAAUGUGAAUUGCAGAAUUCAGUGAAUCAUCGAAUCUUUGAACGCAUCUUGCGCUCCUUGGUAUUCUGAGGAGCAUGCCUGUUUGAGUGUCAUUAAAUUCUCAACUACACUGACUUUGAAUUGGUGUGGCUUGGAUUUGGGGGGAAAAUUGUUGUGGGCUUUUUGUAUAGUCUGCUCCCCUGAAAUUGAUUAGCGGUACCUUUGUGGAACUGUCUACAGGUGUGAUAAUUAUCUACAUCUUAGACAUCUGCUGGAAUGCUGCUUUCUAAACCUUACUUGUAUUUACAAUCUUGACCUCAAAUCAGGUAGGACUACCCGCUGAACUUAAGCAUAUCAAUAAGCGGAGGA